GACUCAGUGGCCUAAUGGUAUAGCGCUUGUCGAGGAACUAGAGGAUCCUGGGUUCAAUCCCCCGAUGGUGUCA
RNAcentral lists this transfer RNA (73 nucleotides) under Schistosoma japonicum. Its description in RNAcentral is "tRNA-OTHER". The record is from RNAcentral. Lineage: Eukaryota; Metazoa; Platyhelminthes; Trematoda; Strigeidida; Schistosomatidae.